Molecule: long non-coding RNA, 1007 nt
Organism: Pseudoliparis swirei
Lineage: Eukaryota; Metazoa; Chordata; Actinopteri; Perciformes; Liparidae
Exons: 3
Source: RefSeq, a predicted model, not a curated record
UCUGCUGGAAUCCGGUAAAUUUCCCCACUGUGGAACUAAUAAAGGAUUAUCUUAUUUUAUCUAUCACACACAGGUUGAUUGUAAGCAAAUAUUUGUGACUAGUAAAAUCCUCUUUGGAGGAAUUACAUUUUCCUUUAGUUUGACUAAAAGUCAUAUUUUUGUUUUGUUUCAGAAACCGGCUUCCUGUCCUUUAGUGACAAUACGUGUCUGCUCCUGACGUGUGCUGUCUUGGCUAUAAGUGUGAACGUCGCAGCCGUCCUCAUCUACGCCAUCAAGAACAACAAGUGUGAUUAUUGCAAUAAUGAAGCUGCUGUUUUCCUUCGAGAAAAUCUUGCAAAAAGGAAGUUAAAGAGAAAUGACGACGCGUGGAUGUAUUCUACUGUCGUCUUCAAUGUGAUGCAACCUGCCGGUGGUGGAAGGAGGGACGCCAAAGCAGCGGAGAGAGAGAGGAUCUAUGCCGCCGUCAAGGCUUUUGGGUUGGAGUAGCAUGUUGAGGUCAGCUGGAGAAAUGUGACAGCUGAUGAUCCUGCUUUAACGUGUUGGUCUUACGCUUACAUGAACAUUUAGUUGACGGUAAUAAGAAUAUAUGGUCGAAGGCCUGUCGUCCAUCUAUGAUCCCCUCACACUGAUACUUCACACCAACUUCCUGUCUUUGUCAUCUGGGUUAUUUUUAGUCCUUCCCCUUGUCGUCUUUACCGAGAUUAAACAUUUCUAAAAUUGGACUUCUACCAAAAGUGGUACAUUUAAUGCUAACUAUGAUGUGGGUGAAAUGUCAUGUUUAAUGUGGCCGUGUGAAGUCCCAACUGGAGGUCUUCAUUGUUGUCAUCCUCACUGUUGUGGUGCUCGUUAAUAAAAUGCAUGACAGGAAAUGCUACAGUCGUACAAGAAUUCAAAAAGUGAAAUCUGUGGAGUUGUCGUUCCGCUAUUUUUGGCUCCAAAAAGAGACCACGAAUAAGGAAGCAUUUAUAUUUUGUUUGCGUUCACGUAUAAUAAAUGUAUUAAAAGUG